Non-coding RNA from Mycena galericulata, 92 nucleotides. The record is from the annotation of a GenBank genome assembly. Lineage: Eukaryota; Fungi; Basidiomycota; Agaricomycetes; Agaricales; Mycenaceae.
GCACCAGUGGUGUAUGGUACACGCAGUCAUAUCAUAGAACCUCCAUACUAAUAGGAGUGACUGAGUCUGGGGUUCGAUUCCCCGCUGGUGCA